RNAcentral lists this ribosomal RNA (383 nucleotides) under uncultured bacterium. RNAcentral's name for it is "bacterial SSU rRNA". It matches the Rfam family "Bacterial small subunit ribosomal RNA", at positions 28 to 414 of the family's 1533-position model. The record is from RNAcentral.
GACGAACGCUGGCGGCGUGCUUAACACAUGCAAGUCGAGCGGUAAGGCCCUUCGGGGUACGACGAGCGGCGAACGGGUGAGUAACACGUGGGUGACCUGCCCUUAGCUCUGGGAUAAGCCUGGGAAACUGGGUCUAAUACCGGAUAUGACUCCAUGACGCAUGUUGUGGGGUGGAAAGCCUUGUGCGGCUAGGGAUGGGCCUGCGGCCUAUCAGCUUGUUGGUGGGGUGAUGGCCUACCAAGGCGACGACGGGUAGCCGGCCUGAGAGGGCGACCGGCCACACUGGGACUGAGACACGGCCCAGACUCCUACGGGAGGCAGCAGUGGGGAAUCUUGCGCAAUGGGCGAAAGCCUGACGCAGCGACGCCGCGUGGGGAUGACGG